UUUCCGUAGGUGAACCUGCGGAAGGAUCAUUAACGAGUUAGGGUCUUCUAGGCCCGACCUCCCAACCCUAUGUUUAUUGAACCUCUGUUGCUUCGGCGGGCCCGUCUCACGGCCGCCGGGGGGAGUCGCCGCGAGGCACCCUCUGGCCAGCGUCCGCCGAUGGCCAACCUCAAAACUCUGAAUGAAUCGUGUCAUGAUGUCUAAGUCUAUGAUUAAAUUAAAGCAAAACUUUCAACAACGGAUCUCUCGGUUCUG
RNAcentral lists this unclassified non-coding RNA (255 nucleotides) under plant metagenome. Its description in RNAcentral is "partial contains small subunit ribosomal RNA, internal transcribed spacer 1, and 5.8S ribosomal RNA". The record is from RNAcentral.